GAUGAACGCUGGCGGCGUGCCUAAUACAUGCAAGUCGAGCGAACGGACGAGAAGCUUGCUUCUCUGAUGUUAGCGGCGGACGGGUGAGUAACACGUGGAUAACCUACCUAUAAGACUGGGAUAACUUCGGGAAACCGGAGCUAAUACCGGAUAAUAUUUUGAACCGCAUGGUUCAAAAGUGAAAGACGGUCUUGCUGUCACUUAUAGAUGGAUCCGCGCUGCAUUAGCUAGUUGGUAAGGUAACGGCUUACCAAGGCAACGAUGCAUAGCCGACCUGAGAGGGUGAUCGGCCACACUGGAACUGAGAAACGGUCCAGACUCCUAAGGGAGGCAGCAGUAGGGAAUCUUCCGCAAUGGGCGAAAGCCUGACGGAGCAAAGCCGCGUGAGUGAUGAAGGUCUUCGGAUCGUAAAACUCUGGUAUUAGGGAAGAACAUAUGUGUAAGUAACUGUGCACAGCUUGAAGGUAACUAAUCAGAAAGACAAGGCUAAAUAAGUG
Molecule: ribosomal RNA, 497 nt
Filed under: uncultured bacterium
Lineage: Bacteria
Description: partial 16S ribosomal RNA
Rfam family: Bacterial small subunit ribosomal RNA
Source: RNAcentral